GACGAACGCUGGCGGCGUGCCUAAUACAUGCAAGUCGAACGAAGCUUUUUUAACUGGUGCUUGCACCGACUUAAACAACUGAGUGGCGAACGGGUGAGUAACACGUGGGUAACCUGCCCCAAAGCGGGGGAUAACAUUUGGAAACAGGUGCUAAUACCGCAUAACCACAGAAACCACAUGGUUUCUGUGUCAAAGAUGGUUUCGGCUAUCACUUUGGGAUGGACCCGCGGCGUAUUAGCUAGUUGGUAAGGUAAUGGCUUGCCAAGGCAAUGAUACGUAGCCGAACUGAGAGGUUGAACGGCCACAUUGGGACUGAGACACGGCCCAAACUCCUACGGGAGGCAGCAGUAGGGAAUCUUCCACAAUGGACGAAAGUCUGAUGGAGCAACGCCGCGUGAGUGAAGAAGGUUUUCGGAUCGUAAAACUCAGUUGUCAGAGAAGAACGUGUGCGAGAGUAACUGUUCGUGCAGUGACGGUAUCUGGCCAGAAAGCCACGGCUAACUACGUGCCAGCCGCCGCAGUAA
Molecule: ribosomal RNA, 524 nt
Filed under: uncultured bacterium
Lineage: Bacteria
Description: partial 16S ribosomal RNA
Rfam family: Bacterial small subunit ribosomal RNA
Source: RNAcentral